CAGAAGUUGAUGCAUUAUCAUUGAUAAUAUUAAGUACAUAAAGUCCAUGGUUACAAUAGCCUUUUCCCACAAAUACAUUAUUUUUGUUCAAAAUAAUCUUAUUAGAUUCAACAGACACUUUCAUUCCAGCUUUAUCCAGCAAAGCUACCAAAAUCAGGUUUGCUCGCAUUGUAGGAACAUGUAGCACAUCCAUGAGGGCUAAAGUUUUCCCUGAAGUGAGUUUUAGGAGUACUUUACCCUUGCCCAAGAGUUCUUGAGUCUCCAAGGUAGACCACUUCACUAUCAUCUCUUAUUGAUGUAUAGGAGGCAAAUGCUUCUCGAUUUACACAAAUGUGUUGAGCAGCCCCAGAGUCUACGACCCAUUCUCUUAUAUGUGCCACCAUAUUCACUUGUAACCUUGAAACUUAUUACCAUACCUUUUAUUGUUGCUGUGUUGACCUUGUACUAAAUUUGCUUUGAGCGCAGCCUGCUUAGCUUUGAAUGACUCCUUUCUGUUGGUAUCUUCAAUUAGAAUAUGAGUUAUUAUUUCCUCAAUAGUAAAAUUUGUCUGUUUAUGUUUCAAGUUAUUUUUAUAGUCAUUUCAUGAUUUGGGCAAUUUUUCAAUCAAUACUCCAGCAAUAAAUUUUCCUGGAAAAGCGAUGUCCUCAGCCUUCAAAUCUUCUAACAGUUUUUGGUAUUUAUUUAUUUGAAUUUUCAUUUCUUUAACAUCACUCAUUUGCCAAUUGUAAAAUUUUCCAACCACAAACUUUUGUUUGGUUGCAUCUUCAGCUGUAAACUUCUUGAUUAAAGCUUCCCAAAUGACUUUUGCUUCUUUGCAACUGCAAUACACAUCAAAUACUUCAUUAGAAAUUGUUUGUAAAAUAGUAUAGAGACAUACCUUAUUGGCGUAUUACCAUGAUUCCAAAAUUUUUCUAUCAACGUCUGCAUCAGGUUAUAUUUGUGACAAAGCAUAUGCAACACUAUAAACAUCAAGUAGUGAGAAAAAUUAUUCUUGCCACCUUUUAAAGUUUUCAUUAGCAAAUGUUUCAAUAUUUGUAACAUCAGAAAACAGUUUUGCACAUGGUAGAACAACUGGAACAGGAGUAUUAAGAGUUUCUUUGGUAGCAGAAGUACCAGGAAAGAAUUAUUUACCAUAGUUUCUUAGAUUGUUGGGGAACAAUAAUAAUAACAGUUAAUAAUACUGAAUAUUAAAUAAAUAUUGAUAUGAUAUUCUUUUAAGUGAUAUAUUAAUUAUACUUGAGUCGUGCUAGGCACUGUCUUAAGAAACUAUUUCAGCAGUGUGAAAUGUUUUCUUAGGAUUAAACAAGCACUUCCCUAAUUAAUUACAGGAUACAGGAAUCAAUAAAAUUAUUUGUACAACUACUAGCAAGUUAAACUAUAUUAACUAAAUCAUUAAGCAAGAUUACAAGAGAGAAAUUAAAG
RNAcentral lists this long non-coding RNA (1422 nucleotides) under Capsicum annuum. RNAcentral describes it as "long non-coding RNA (CANN_LNC000813)". The record is from RNAcentral. Lineage: Eukaryota; Viridiplantae; Streptophyta; Magnoliopsida; Solanales; Solanaceae.